RNAcentral lists this small RNA (66 nucleotides) under Leptospira meyeri. RNAcentral's name for it is "Flavo-1 RNA". Lineage: Bacteria; Pseudomonadati; Spirochaetota; Leptospiria; Leptospirales; Leptospiraceae. The record is from RNAcentral.
UUUGCGCCAGGGAUUGCAGUGGAAAUCGGAGCGAAGCGGAGAUUGAAACGGAAAGCCCGGUCGUUU